CCUCGGGCUCCGUGCAACGGCAGGCCGCAAACCCCGCCAGGUCCGGAAGGAAGCAACGGUAGUGGUUCGAACCGUGUGCCGCGGAUCACCCGGGGUCU
This 98-nucleotide signal recognition particle RNA is filed under the name Candidatus Solibacter sp. RNAcentral's name for it is "signal recognition particle sRNA small type". It matches the Rfam family "Bacterial small signal recognition particle RNA". Rfam says of the family: The signal recognition particle (SRP) is a universally conserved ribonucleoprotein involved in the co-translational targeting of proteins to membranes. Archaeal SRP consists of a 7S RNA and homologues of the eukaryotic SRP19 and SRP54 proteins. RNAcentral also lists the same sequence under 1 other name. The record is from RNAcentral. Lineage: Bacteria; Pseudomonadati; Acidobacteriota; Terriglobia; Bryobacterales; Solibacteraceae.